This 232-nucleotide ribosomal RNA is filed under the name uncultured bacterium. Its description in RNAcentral is "partial 16S ribosomal RNA". It matches the Rfam family "Bacterial small subunit ribosomal RNA", at positions 118 to 347 of the family's 1533-position model. The record is from RNAcentral.
UGAGCAAUCUGCCCUUCUCAUCGGAAUAAGCGUUGGAAACGACGUCUAAUGCCGAAUACGACCUCCUUUCGCAUGAUCGGAGGUGGAAAGCUCCGGCGGAGAAGGAUGAGCUCGCGGCCUAUCAGCUAGUUGGUGUGGGUAAUGGCCCGCCAAGGCGACGACGGGUAGCCGGCCUGAGAGGGUGACCGGCCACACUGGGACUGAGACACGGCCCAGACUCCUACGGGAGCAG